This is a long non-coding RNA of Girardinichthys multiradiatus, 1720 nucleotides long. RefSeq lists it as uncharacterized. NCBI's taxonomy places the organism in Eukaryota, Metazoa, Chordata, Actinopteri, Cyprinodontiformes, Goodeidae. The transcript has 3 exons. The record is from RefSeq and is a predicted model, not a curated record.
UGCAAAAGUGUUUUCUGAAAUGUAAAAGUGUUUUCUGAAAUGUAAAUUUGUUUCGGUACUUGUGAAAGUGUUUUGCACCCCCCGGCCACCGUAGUUUCCCGUUAUCUUAACUGAUGCCAUAAAUCCAUAAAAAUGAGGAUAAACAUUUAUUUAUGGUUCUCAUAUAUUCGGCAAGUCAAUUUAUUUUGAAAUAUAUUGAGAUAAGAUCCUACAAAGCCAUCUUACUGACAGUAAAAUUAAAAUCCUUAAGUUUUUUUUAAGUUAUGUUAUCCCAUAUUUCACUACCAGUCUGGCGCCAGUAGAGGGGUGUGUUUAGUGUCUGAUGGACAGGAUCUUGUUUGGACAUACCAAGUCACCCCGAAUUUGAGCAGCUGGCAGCCCUGAAACUCACAGUUCAUAUUAACUGGUAAAAUCGGGAAUAUUCAGCUAAUGAGGAGGUCGACUGAACUCAUGCACUAAUCCGCAAAACUAGCAGGUAUAAUUUCUGCCUGACCUGUCCCAGUCCGCCGUUGUGGUACUGGAUACUUCCUGGAAUUGGACUGAACCUGGCAAGCGGGGCUUCUUUCCUGACACUUAUCCUCUCCCUGGUGGUUUCCCCGGAUUCUCCAUGGACCCAUUGAGGCAUGGACUCACCUAGAUCCCUGAAAGUGAGCUGUGGUAUCUGGCAUCAAGAUGUGACCAACAGAUCUUUUAGGUCCAGUACGUUGUGCGAUGAGGCCUCCAUAGAUCGGAUUCAUUUCUUCAGCAGGUCCAGAAGACGCUUGAUUCACAUUGAUCUGGGAAAUUAAGAGGCCUAGUCAACAAAUUCAUUGUUGUGUUUGUCAAACUAUUCCUGAAAAUUUUUUUGUGUUGUGGCAAGGUGCAUGACCUUGUUGAAUAUUGCUACCAUGAAGGUGUCUACAUUGGUCUGCAACACUUAGGUAGCACAAAUCAAAGUAACAUCCACAUGAAUGGCAGGACCCAAGAUUUGUCAGCAGAACAUUGCCCUAAGUGUCACACUAACUCUGCUGGCUUGCCCUUUUCCAACAGCGUGUCCUAGUGCUAUGUUCUCCUCAGCUAAGCAAUGUACAUAUGCAUCAAUGUCAUGUAGGAGAAAAAAGGUGAUAUAUCAGACCAGGCCACCUUCUUUUAUUGCUCUGUGGUCCAUUUCCGAUGCCUAUGUGCCCACUGUAAGUGUUUUCCGGCAGUGGAGAGGUGUCAGGAUGGAAACUCUUAUUACUUUGUAUGUGCAGCCCCAUACCCAUCAAAUUGUAAUACACUGUGUAUCCUGACCCCACUCAUAUAUGUACUACAGUAGCUUACCUGACGAUUCAGACCACACAGGCCAACUUUUGCUCUCCAUUUGCAUCAGUGAGCCUGGACACCCAUGACCCUGUUGCUGGUUCACCACUGUUACUCCCAAUGGACCACUUUUCCUUCAUACUUAACACUACAGAUUGAGGACACCCAUUAGGAGCUCUGACCCAGUCUUCUGAUCCUCCCAAUGUAGCCCUUGUCAAAUCAUGAGACUUACCUGCUUCUACAAAUCAACUGUAAAGACAAUAUGUUCAUUUGCUGCCUAAUAUAUCCAACUCAUGGGUUUAUUGGUGAUGACAGCAGAAGUCGUGCACAUUUUUACCAUUUUGUUGUGUUUGUCAAUGACUUUGCAGUUAAUAAACCACGUUCAACAUAAUCUUGUGUUCAGCACAAUAAAAACUACAGCAGGGUGAAAUACCUCUUA